CUACGGGGGGCAGCAGUGAGGAAUAUUGGUCAAUGGGCGCGAGCCUGAACCAGCCAUCCCGCGUGCAGGAUGACGGCCCUAUGGGUUGUAAACUGCUUUUCUAUGCCAAGAAACCUGAUUACGUGUAAUCAGUUGCCGGUAGCAUAGGAAUAAGCAUCGGCUAACUCCGUGCCAGCAGCCGCGGUAAUACGGAGGAUGCAAGCGUUAUCCGGAUUCAUUGGGUUUAAAGGGUGCGCAGGUGGGCUUGUAAGUCAGUGGUGAAAUGCUGCCGCUUAACGGUAGAACUGCCAUUGAUACUGCGAGUCUUGAGUAUGGUUGAGGUAGGCGGAAUGUGUUGUGUAGCGGUGAAAUGCAUAGAUAUGACACAGAACGCCAAUUGCGAAGGCAGCUUACUAAGCCAUUACUGACGCUGAGGCACGAAAGCGUGGGGAGCGAACAGGAUUAGAUACCCUUGUAGUC
This 459-nucleotide ribosomal RNA is filed under the name uncultured bacterium. RNAcentral's name for it is "partial 16S ribosomal RNA". It matches the Rfam family "Bacterial small subunit ribosomal RNA", at positions 339 to 795 of the family's 1533-position model. The record is from RNAcentral.